Molecule: transfer RNA, 73 nt
Filed under: Candidatus Korarchaeum cryptofilum OPF8
Lineage: Archaea; Thermoproteati; Thermoproteota; Candidatus Korarchaeia; Candidatus Korarchaeales; Candidatus Korarchaeaceae
Also listed under: 1 other name
Description: tRNA-Ala (TGC) (tRNA-Ala-TGC-1-1)
Rfam family: tRNA
About the family: Transfer RNA (tRNA) molecules are approximately 80 nucleotides in length. Their secondary structure includes four short double-helical elements and three loops (D, anti-codon, and T loops).
Source: Rfam by way of RNAcentral
GGGCCCGUAGCUCAGGCGGUAGAGCGCCGGCUUUGCAAGCCGGAGGCCGCGGGUUCGAGUCCCGCCGGGUCCA